This 321-nucleotide ribosomal RNA is filed under the name uncultured eukaryote. RNAcentral's name for it is "partial 18S ribosomal RNA". It matches the Rfam family "Eukaryotic small subunit ribosomal RNA", at positions 1470 to 1796 of the family's 1831-position model. The record is from RNAcentral.
CCCUUAGAUGUCCUGGGCCGCACGCGCGCUACACUGACAUGUUCAACAAGCCUCCUAGUUCGACAGGAUUUGGGAAAUCUUUGAACGCAUGUCGUGAUAGGGAUAGAUCAUUGCAAUUAUUGAUCUUGAACGAGGAAUUCCUAGUAAACGCGAGUCAUCAGCUCGCAUUGAUUACGUCCCUGCCCUUUGUACACACCGCCCGUCGCUCCUACCGAUUGAAUGCUCAGGUGAGCCAUUCGGACUUUCAUCAUGCUGGUUUCCAGUUUUGAUGAAGGAAAGUCUUGCGAACCUUAUCAUUUAGAGGAAGGAGAAGUCGUAACA